AGCGCAGGCGGGAAACUAAGCGGAUCUUAAAAGUGCGGGGCUCAACCCCGUGAUGGGGUCCGAACUGGUUUUCUUGAGUGCAGGAGAGGAAAGCGGAAUUCCCAGUGUAGCGGUGAAAUGCGUAGAUAUUGGGAAGAACACCAGUGGCGAAGGCGGCUUUCUGGACUGUAACUGACGCUGAGGCUCGAAAGCUAGGGUAGCGAAAGG
This 207-nucleotide ribosomal RNA is filed under the name uncultured bacterium. RNAcentral's name for it is "partial 16S ribosomal RNA". It matches the Rfam family "Bacterial small subunit ribosomal RNA", at positions 568 to 775 of the family's 1533-position model. The record is from RNAcentral.